Molecule: ribosomal RNA, 253 nt
Filed under: uncultured bacterium
Lineage: Bacteria
Description: partial 16S ribosomal RNA
Rfam family: Bacterial small subunit ribosomal RNA
Source: RNAcentral
GACAGAGGCCCCGAGCGUUAGUCGGAAUUACUGGGCUUAAAGGGUGCGUAGGCGGGCGUGUAAGUGCUUUGUGAAAGCCCUGGGCUCAACCCAGGAACCGCAGGGCAUACUGCACGUCUCGAGGUAGCUAGAGGCCGGUGGAACGAUCGGUGGAGCGGUGGAAUGCGUAGAGAUCGAUCGGAACGCCAAGGGUGAAGACAACCGGCUGGGGCUUACCUGACGCUGAGGCACGAAAGCGUGGGGAUCAAACAGG